GGGCGCUGGAGGGACUCUCUGUCUCUCCCAGUGGUCCAUCGUCUGGACGACGUGGUCCAUGGCGGCGACGAGACAGUGAAUAAUUGCCGUGUGCUCCUGGACGCGCUCCUCGACUCCGCUAACAUAGGUACCUGCUACUGCUGACUCCAUACUUGGUUGUGGAAUUCUGUAGCGUGUGCAUAACUGGCUGCAAGGAAGUCAGGCGCAGGAGAGCAGAAUUGGGUAGCAAACGGAGCAGUUUAUUUCGGUGAACAAAACACACGGCACUUAGAACACUAAACAACUAAGGGUAGACAUACCCCGGCGCAAACCAGUCAGACGUGCACAUACACGAAACAACAAACAAUUCCACACACAGACAUGGGGGGAACAGAGGGUUAUAUACACGACAAGUAAUGAGGGAAAGGUGUGUGGGAAAACAAGACAAAACAAAUGCAAAAUGAAAGGUGGAUCGGCGAUGGCUAGAAGACCGGUGACGUCGACCGCCAAACGCCGCCCGAACAAGGAGAGGAACCGACUUCAGCGGAAGUCGUGACAGAUGCCUGUAUCUUUGUAGUGACUGGGUGUAUUGAUACACCAAAGUGUACUUACACUGAACACAAAUAUAUAAAAUAAGCACAAAAAGGAUAUUUCUCUCACAUUUUGUGCACAACUUUGUUUACAUCCCUGUUAGUUAGCAUUUCUCAUUUGCCAAGAUAAUCCAUCUACCUGACAGAAUGAUUACACAGAUUAAACAGAAUAAUCAUUACACAGGUGCACCUUGUGCUAGAGACAAUUAAUGGCCACUCUGAAGUUCAGUUUUGGCACACAACACAAUGCCACAGAUGUCUCAAGUUUUGAGGGAGCGUGCAAUUGGCAUGCUAACUGCAGGAAUGUCCACCAGAACUGUUGCCAGACAAUUUAAUGCUCAUUUCUCUACCAUAAGCGUUGUUUUAGAGAAUUUGGCAGUACAUCCAACCGGCCUCACAACCGCAGACAACGUGUAUGGCGUUGUGUGGGCAGCUUAACUAGGUCUUUCCUUGCAGCACUCGACCACACCACUGGACAAUAAUCAAGAUAAGACAAAACUAGAGCCUUCAGGACUUGCUUUUUGGAUCUGUUGGGUCAAAAAAGCAGAGCAUCUUUUUAUUACGGAGAGACCUCUCCCCAUCUUUACAACCAUUGAAUCUAUAUGUUCUCGACCAUGACAGUUUACAAUCUAAGGUAACACCAAGUAAUUUAGUCUCCUCAACUUGUUCAACAGCCACACCAUUAAUUACCAGAUUCAGCUGAGGUCUAGAACUUAGGGAAUGAGUGUUACCAAAUAGAAUGCUCUCAUUUUUAGAGAUGUUCAGGACCAGUUUAUAACUGGCCACCCAUUCCAAAACAGACUGCAACUCUUUGUUAAUGGUUUCAGUAACCUCAUUGGCUGUGGUUGCUGAUGCGUAUAUGGUUGAAUCAUCAGCAUACAUGGACACACAUGCUUUGUUUAAUACCAGUGGCAGGUCAUUGGUAGAAAUAGAAAAGAAUAAAGGACCUAGAGAGCUGCCCUGCGGUACACAAUGCUUUACAUUUGACAUUAGAAAAUCUUCCAUUAAAGAAAACCCUCUGCGUUCUAUUAGAUAGAUAGCUCUGAAUCAACGAUUUGGCAGAGGUUGAAAAGCCAUAACACAUACAGUACGUUUUAUCAACAACAAGUUAUGGUCAAUAAUGUCAAACAGCUGCACUGAAAUGUAAUAGUACAGCUCCCACAAUCUUCUUAUUAUCAAUUUCUUUCAACCAAUCAUCAGACAUUCGUGUCAAUGCAGUAGAUGUUGAGUGCCCUUCUCUAUAAGCAUGCUGAAAAUAUGUUGUUAAUUUGUUUACAGAGAAAUAACAUUGUAUUUGGUCAAACACCAUUUUUUCCAACAGUUUGCUAAGAGCUGGCAGCAAACUGAUCGGUCUGCUGUUAGAACCAGUAAACGCUGCAUUACCACUCUUGGGUAGCGGAAUGACUUUGACUUCCCUUCAGGCCUGAGGACAAAGACUUUUCUCUAGGAUCAGAUUAAAGAUAUGACAGAUAGGAGUGGCUAUAGAGUUAGCUACCAUCCUUAGUAGCUUUCCAUCUAAGUUGUCAAUGCCAGGAGGUUUGUCAUUAUUGAUUGAUAACAAUAUUUUUUCCACCUCUCCCACACAAACUUUACAAAAUUCAAACUUGCAAUACUUUUCUUUUUUAUGCAUGAGUACAAUGGCUCACUGUUUGUUGUUGGCAUUUCCUGCGUAAGUUUGCCCACUUUGCCAAUGAAGUAAUCAUUAAAAUAAUUGGCAACAUCAAAUGAUUUUGUGAUUACUACGGCAUCUGAUUUGAUGAAAGAUGGAGUUGAAUUUAAUUUCUGCCCAUAACUUAAUUUAAAGUAUUCCAACGUUUUUUUUCUCCAUCAUUCUUUAUAUCAUUGAUCUCGGCUUCAUACUACUGUUUCUUCUUCUUUUUGUUGAGUUUAGUCACAUCAGUUCUCAAUUUGCAGUAGGUCAGCCAGUCAGAUGAGCAGACAGAUUUAUUGCCACUCCUUUUGCCCCAUCUCUUUCAACCAUACAGUUUUUCAAUUCCUCAUCAAUCCAUGGAGCCUUAACAGUUCUAACAGUCAGUUUCUUAACAGGUGCAUGUUUAUCAAUAAUUGGAAGAAGCAAUUUCAUAAAUUCAUCAAGUUCAGCGCCUGGAUGCUCCUUAUUAAUCACAUCAGUUCCAACAAAUAUUUUUAACAUAAUCCACAUAAGAGUCACAGCAAAAUAUUUUGUAUGAUCUCUUAUACACUAUUUUAGGCCCAGUUUUCGAAAAUUAGGCUUUUCUGGAUAUAGCCACCAUAUUGAGAUCACUGCAUCCAGUGGGUACGGUUACAGCUUUAGAACAAAGUUCUACAGUAUUAGUAAAAAUGUGAUCAAUACAUGUGGAUGAUCUUGUUCCUGUAGUGUUUGUAAACACCUUGGUAGGUUGAUUAAUAAUUUGAACCAGAUUACAGGCACUGGUUACAGUGAGAUGCUUCCUCUUGAGUGGACAGCCUGAUGAAAACCAGUCAAUAUUCAGAUACCCAAUAACUUCAUCAUGCUCAAAGGGAUAUUCAAUGUCUGUUUGUUUUUUGGUUUUUUACUCAUCUACCAAUAUCUGCCCUUCUUUGCGAGGCAUUGGAAAAUCUCCCUGAUCUUUGUGGUUGAAUCUGUGUUUGAAAUUCACUGCUCGACUGAGGGACCUUACAAAUAAUCGUAUGUGUGGGGAACAGAGAUGAGGUAGUCAUUCAAAAAUCAUGUUAAACACUAUUAUUAUACACAGAGUGAGUCCAUGCCCCUUAUUAUGUGACUUGUUAAGCACAUUUUUACUGCUGAAUUUAUUUAGGCUUGCCAUAACAAAGGGGUUGAAUACUUAUUGACUCAAGACAUUUCAGCUUUUCAUUUUUAAUGAAUUUGUAAAAAUGUAUAAGAAACAAUUCCACUUUGACGUUGUGGGGUAUUGUGUGUAGACCAGUAACACACAAUCUCUAUUUAAUCAAUUUUAAAUUCACACUGUAACAUAACAAAAUGUGGAAAAAGUCAAGGGCUGUGAAUACUUUCUGAAGGCACUGUAGAAACAUAUUUUGGAAAGGGUUCUACAUGGAACUCAAAAAGGUUCUACCUGGAACCAAAAAUGGUUAUCCUAUGGGGACAGCCGAAAAACCCUUUCAGGUUCUAGAUAGCACCUUUUAUUCUAAGACUGUACUCUCCUUCAUCAACCUGCUAGACUAGUCUGGGCUUGUCCCUUAUGAUUUCAUUGUGAAAUAAAACAAAUUAUUUAACCUUUAUUUAACUAGGCAAGCCAGUUAAGAACAAAUUCUUAUUUACAAUGACUGCCUACACAGGCCAAACCCAGACGACCAUGGGCCAAUUGUGUGCCACCCUAUGGGACUCCCAAUCACAGCCGGUUGUGAUACAACCUGGAAUCGAACCAGAGUAUCUGUAAUGACACCUCAAGCACUGAGAUGCAGUGCCUUAGACCUUUGCGCCACUCGGAAGCCCCAUGUCAGUGUGAUGGAGACUAAAUAGCCUACUCAGAUCCAAUAAUAGGCUCUGGGGCCUCCUGCAUUGCUUUUAGAGACGAUUAAUUCCUAGUUUGAUCGCCAUCAUGACAUCUAACUAGCAGUAAUGCAGGAAUUCUGUGAAGUAGCUUUGUGCCAUCUGGUGGUGAAGGCAAACUCAUUCCUCUGCCCUCCAGAGUCCAGUCUGUACUUUUCCACACAGAUUCACAAUCACAUACUGAGACUUUGUUAGAUUCUCAAGAUUCUUUUGUAGAAUCUUCUAGAUUUGAGAGGCUAAAAAUGUCCUUGGUGAGCUGAUAUUGACAAUUGGGUGUCUAAAAAGACAGAUUGACCGAUUUAAUUCAAACAUUUCCCCCCCUAUUAUUCCAUCAUCUUGUUGUGCCAAGAUAUGUAAUGGAAAAGCUAAUUAUGAAACACAAACAAACCUGCUGAUGAAUAGAUAGUGGUUUGGUUGCUGAUGUAGGCUACAUUAAUUAUCAUCACUUUUCUUUUACAGCAUAUAGACCGUACAGGUUUGUUAUGGGCUACUGUAGCCAUCUUGAGUUUUUUUCUGAUGUUAUAUUUGGAAUGCCCAUGAUGAGUCAUUUCACAGCUCCUCCGCUUAUUUUUUUUAAGUAAAAGGAAACUGGUUUGCUCUCCCAUAGUUAACAACUAGCUCUUCUACAAAUGUCUAGUUGUUACAAUGUUUAAAAACCGAGUGAGAAUUAUUGGUUGGUAGGCUACAUAAUGUUCGACAUUAAGCAAAUUCAAAUUCAGCAAUGCAGUAUAAGGGAAGUAGACCCGGUAGAAAGAACCAGUGAAUUCCAGUUUAAUCCGGUUUGUAUGGACUGUUCACAUCUUGCACUGUAUUUAUCCGAGCACCAAAUGCGUUGACGUCAGCUGUUGUUAUUCGAAAAGUAUGUCGAAUGACUGACUCCCUCUUACAACAGCAGCCUUUGUAACUCGAGAAAUGAGAACACGUCAUAAUACAUAAUGGCAAUAUUUACAGUACUGUAUUAUGAUUGGCAAGUUUGAUGCUGUUGUUAACAAAUGUACAUAGGUAGGUUGGUUCAUGGUUGAGAUGAAAGCAAUGCAAGUAAGUACAUUUUGAUAGACUCCCACAUUUACCAAAACCCUUUUUUCAUGACCAUACAUUAAAAUAAGUAGGUUUGUACGCUUGUGUUUCACGGUGAAGUAAAACAAAGUGUAAGUAAAAGUUCGCAGCCAUUUCAUAAAUGCGCGACGAAUGUGGCCCUAUUUCGUGAAUCACUAGGUCGGAGGUAUUCUCAUGGUGACGUUAGCCGCAUCACAACUCGUGUAUAACUACCACCCGCAACCCCCUUCCAACUCCAAACUCUUUAUUGAUGCCGUUUUACUGUGCUGCGUUGGUUAACGGUUCGGUUUCGUCAAAAUUUAUUUUUCCUGAAUCUCUUAUUAGGUUACUUUAAUUUUAGAACUGACGAAUGAUAGCUAAGACUAAUAUGUAACAGGUCUCGUGUGACGAAUGUAGUAUGGAAGUAGUUUAAAUUGAUCAGAUAAAGUAGCUAUCUUACGUUACCUGCUAGCUUGUCUUUCGACGCCUACAUGAUUUGUUGCCUCAGCUUUUUUUUUUGCGAUUGUUGCUUUUACUCGAGUACUGAAUUGCUUACGAUUCGUAUGCAAUAAGAUUAACAUUAUAGCUAUAAGAAACGAUCAAGCUGACGUGUCCAUUAUGAAAGCCACAACAAGGUUAUCGUUAGGUGGCAGGGUAUUGUUAUUAUCAUCGUCAGUUACGUAGUUUAACACAAAAGAAUGCUUAUUUCAGCUGAGUUGGCAUCUCUACGCUAAGUAACAGCGAAAAUGUCACAUUUGUUAAUAACUACGGUACCUAGUCAAGAAGGCUUUACCAAACAAAAUGCGCGUGUUGUGGCGCAGUUGUAGGCCUGAUAAAAAAAAUCGCGGCGUGUCACGAUGUAGUGGAGAAAUGGCUGCCCGGGUGAUUCAGUACUGGUGCAGCUAUCUGAAGUUAAAAAAAAAAUGAAGAUCAUGAAAGAAUCAGGUUGUAUAAGUGUCAUUGAAAGAACCAAGUUACAAGACCAGAACCUUAUGAAAGGAGUGAAGCCGUUCGAAUAGCCAGCUAAAUAUUUGAAUAGAAGUUGAGCGUAGGUCCCACACAUCCGAGGCAGUAUAGCUACUUCGAUGCGUAUAGUAUUUUGUUAACCUAAAAUGAAGACUAGUUUACAAGAGGAGAAUUUUGAAUCCUUGGGAAUGGGCAGUAAAAUAUACCACUUACAAGACGAGCAUCAUAUGAAGAAAUGAGAAUGGCUAGCUAAAUAUUUGAAGAUCAAGUUGAACGUAUGUCCCUUAAACUGCCUCGGAUAUAUCUACUUCAAUGCGUUAGAAGUGUUUAUUUUAGUUGGUUGCGCAUCAGGAAAUACAAUUUAUAGUGGGUAAGGAACCAAGGAAAAAUGACUUUGGUUUUAUGUAAACUGAAUAAGUGCUGGUAGUUUGUCUCAUCAGUGUAGGCAACAUGUGAAAUAACCAAGUUACUGAUCUUGAACCAUAUGAGAAGUUGUGAAGCCUCUUGAAUAGCCAACUGCAUAUUGGAAGUUGGGCUGCAGUUGCUUUUGAGUAAUUUUUAUAUAUUUUUGUAGCCUGAAGUGAAGUACAAUAUGUGCUUAAGUUGUGAGACCUUACUUCAAUAGCAAACUAAAUAUUGGAAGAUAAUUUAGGCCAACAGUGGCUGUUUGUCAGUCAUUUAAGCUGCUUCAAGAAGUAAAAAUGUUUUGAGCCUAAAAUGAACAAGAUGUGCUGCGGAUUUCAUUUCCAAGUACAGCAGUUGCUUUGAUAGCACUAGCGGUAGUUCAAGGAGUUGCAGGCUAGUGACGUUGCUUUGUCACGCUUCAGAUCUGAUAAACUUUUUCUAAACACAAUUGGCUCUAGUUGGUGAAGAAAAGAAGAUUUUUCUGUAGAAGAAUGGACUGAGUUUGAGUUUUUUUUUAAAGUGCUGUGGGGGCACUUAGCUAGUAGGCAGUUUGUGAUCAGACGAGGAAGGACGACUUCAGGAUCAGGCAAGGACCAGGCAGAGGGAAUCUGGGCGGACCAGGCAGAGGGAAUCUGGGAGGACCAGCGGGGAGCCAGGCAGGAUCCAGGUGGAUCGCGGGAGGAGCAGAUGGGAACCAGUUGAGCGAGCGGAAUGCAGCAGAGUUUUCAUCAAAGGGAGCGAGCCAGGUGGCAGGGUAGCGAGCAUCCCAGAGUGAGCUGAGAGCGGAGCAGUCCCAGGUCGAGUGUUGCCCUAAAGCAGCCAGUGGGUCCCAGCAGCAAUGAGGUGACGAGUAAAAGGGCCAACUAGCUUCGCAAGUGACAAGUGUUUGUAUGAUGGGUAGCGGUAUACAGUAAUGUUUAACUAGGCCAAAAAUCUUUGAAAUUAGUCAAUGUUAAAUCUGUCAACACAUUUGCUCGCGAAGUUUUCUUCCUCUUUCAGGCAAUGGUAAAGUGUUAAUUUUCCUGGUUGCGGCCCUUUCCUGUGUGAUGUCUGCUGUGAUGAGUCCCCCUUGGCCUACUUGGUAGAGUGCACUGGCGAGAGGACUGUCUUAAAGGAUUUCACCCUCCUGCAGCGCAGAUGUAGUACCCCCCCUGGGCGGAGGCGUUUCUUCUUCAUUGAGUUCAAUAGGUCUACCCCCGAGAAGUGGUCUACAUGGGAGUGUUGAGAGUCGAAAUUCUUCUGUACGUUCGUACCACAACGCAGCUUUGGUGCUGAGCAGCUACAUCUGCUGGUUAAAGUGAGCAGUGAGUUUAAAUGCAUGAGAUGAUCUUGUGGGGAGUAACUAUUCCCCUCAAUAAAUAUUGAUAUCAAAUUUCUAUUUGCCUUUGUAAUGGUAACUGAAAGGGAUUAUCCCUGCAUUUAAUUUGUAGUAUUGGUUAAACUGUGGUGCAUUUGUGGAUGGUGGGGGGGAGACUUUUUCCGAGUUCUUCUUUUCACAGGCUCGCACCUUAAAGCAAACCUGACCAUCCAAGGGAGUCCCUCUUUAGUACUGCCCGCCACAUUAAUCAAAACGGUUGAGCACGUCCCGUAACAGAUAAUUCUAAGGAUGGAUCAAGGGAAACCUCUGGUGUUAAAAUCAUGUAGGAAGGUAUUUUGUGCUGGUUUUCUGUAGUGAGUUGAUCAUUUGCAUAUACUGUUUUUCUUCCAAUAUGUUGUAGGGAUACACACUUGAGUUCUGGGAGGGUUGUGGGGGUGUUAAUCAAAUAUUUUCCUAGAAUUUCUUUUCACACAGCUUCGUGUAAAGCAGCGUUUUAAAGAUCCAAAUGGCUAGCGUUGAGGUUUGAGGAGCAAGGAAUCAACCCGGUGGUCCACAUCUUUCAGGUUUCCUUUUGCCUUGUGGUGUGGAUAUUCCUUGGUGUCUACAAUGGUGUAGCAGGAGGCGGGCCACAUUUUGGGAUGUGAACUUGCGGUGUUCUCCCAGGGAGUGUGGUAACCCUUAACUUUUAGGCUGAUGCAUUUUAUAUCCUGGAGUUGAAAUUUGCAUUUGGUUUCUGGGGUCAGGGGAGAGCUUAACUGUGACUCUUCCAGAUUAUGACCCACCCCUCAAUGAAAGAAACUGGAGAUCUACAUCUCCCUCGUCUUAAGGAGAACAGCUGAUGCCUUGAGGCCAGUGGUAUUUAACUGUUUCUUGUGGAAAGUUAUUGAUUUGGUGUUAGUGAAUUUGUGUUAAUUGUAUUUUAGCAACUGUUAAUACAAUUUUGAUAGUGGGUUGGUUACUGUCUGGGUUUGUAUGGGUGGGAAUGGUGGAAGUCUUGUUUUCCCUUUUGCGUUUUCCAGUGUGCUGUGUCCUACUGCGCUUUCAAUACUGAAGAUCAACAGGAACGCCCCUAACGCAUUGUAUGUAAAGGUUUACUAUUGCUUCAAAACACCACGUUGGGUCUCAAUGUUUUCACAUUUUAUAUUUCAUUAAUGACAUUUUGCAACUUGCCUUAAUUGCUCUCCUUUGCAAAUUAGUUAAAUGUUUUGUAUUGAUGCAACUGAACUCUGUCAAGGAAUGAUAAUUGGUAAUAAAUACAUAGCUUGUUGUGAUUGAAGACAGUUUUGGUAUGCAUUUGUUAUUCUGGGGGACUCUUGUGUGGGGGCUUUUCUUGUGCUUUUUCAGGUAUGACUUAGCUUGGUGCUUUUAGAUCACGGAAGUGACCUGGGCCUGAUGGCAGCUCUUACAAGGUGGAAAGUGAAGGUUUCAGAUAAGUUCAAUCCAGCUUGUAUCAUGUCCAAAAGUGGGAAAAUUCAUGACAUGCCGCCUGGUUGUCUGAAUGGGCCCCAUUGCUGCCUCAGUUGAUUGGUCUUCAAUAGAGACGCAUCUACUUAGCAAUACGACUCUGCCACUACUUGUGGUAUGUAGAAGUUGCACUGCUGUGCUUUCACUGAGUGCAAAUCUCUUCUGGUGGAGACUUUUCAACUCAAAAUGUUAUGCUAAUUAUAAAGCAUAUUUUGUCUACGGGUAACAAAUGUCAGUGCUGUGAGGGUGGGUAUAGGGCUGUUUGUUUUUGAUCUUUCAGAAUUACAAAAGCCCAAAUGAAGACUGCCUUCUACCCGUGACAUGACCACAGGAAUCGCCCCUCCUUUGAACUCCUCUACACAGGCAGGACAGUUUGAACACCUUCAUUACAUUAGACCAUUUCUAGUUUGCUUUUGGCUCUCAGCUACCUGCACUUGUGCAACUGUGCAAGCAGUCUUGUAUCGUAGUAGCCUUUCAUUCCUCUUCAACUGUAUAGCAUAUUUGGUUUUCCUUUGUAGCUGUCGUGCAACUGUGACAGCGUUCCCAAAUUAAGGUAGCUGAGGAACACUGCGCAACUGUGCAGCUGUAAUUUGGACUGCAAUUGUUUUGCUUUUGGAUUGGUAGAUGAGGGUUGGGAGGAGAAUUCUGCACUUUUUCUCUACAGAAAUCUGAGUGCGUCUUGGUGAAGCACGAAUGAAGUCUUCUAACCUGCCGCACGUAGUAAGGUGUUGGUGUACCUUUUCAGUCUUCAUUUCAUAUCAAACUCCAGACCCCUGCCAUGUUUUAGUUUGGUUCAAUGGACAUCUUCAACUGGCUUCCUGUUAACCUCCUAUCGUUAAUAACCAUCAUCAAGCCAUGCUUUUACCAGCAUAUGCCCCUUUCUUUGGCUCAGAGCCCUACUGCUUUGCAUCUUUAAAGUAAGUUGAGUAAAAUGUAUGUUGUGAGUACUGUGGUGGUUUGUGUAGAAACCUUUGUUUCAGAUCAUUAUCUUGUAUCACUGUCCGCUGACUGCGCCUCCAUCUGAAUGUAACGCCGUCGCAGGAAACUCGACAAAUGAAUGUGGCCCCUGAAUGAAGUAUCUACCCUCUGCGCUUGAGCUUAGUCAAACCUCUCCACUCGACGGUCUUCAGUCUCUUCUCUCUCUGUGCUGUCUGUGCUCCUUUCCUUUCCCCCUUUUGGUUUCUCAGGUGACAAUUUCUCAUCCGACGUAAAAUUGUCAUGAAUUGGCAUUCGUUAUCUGCCUCUAACUGCGUGAUGGAACACUGAGAACCCAGUCACUUUCAGAUCAAGAGCCACAAGCUUGUCUUGCUGAAAAUUGAGCAUCACUUCAGUUUCUUGGUUACUAAGUUAAGUCAUUUUGGUUCCCUUUUGCUUUUGAACACACCAUGGCUAUGUUUUAACACAACCUUUUGACUCUGCAUGCAUAUCAGCUCUGCAUAACAUUUUGAAUUUCAAAAUGCGCAACAUAACUUUCAUAUAGUUAAUGUGUAAAAUAGGCACAUACCAGUAGGUGUUGGGAGGGUGGGGGCAACACUUUCUUCCUUCCUUUCAGGUAUCUCUUGAGUGAACUUGUCGUUACUGGGUGCUUGCAGCUGCAGGGAGUCACGGGAAGUGUCUUGGUUUGAUCCAGUUCUAGGAAGUUGAGAGCAUCAGUGUAGAGAAACUGGUUGGUUGUGGUUUGUACUGUUUCUGUCAGUCACAGUAAAUUACAUCUUAAAAUAUUUUCUAUUUCAGGGAUAUGUUUUGGGGGGGGGGUGUAAUUGUUCCUCUUUUGUCUUUACAGCUUCAAAUCUAAGAGCUCAAUCCUUGCAAGUUUGACUGACCUCUGGACCAAUGUCAGUGAUAAGAUCUACACUUACGUUGUGAAUUUGUCUUACUGUUAUCAUGGAUGAAAUGUAGUAAUGUGGAAUUGCUCUAAUGGCAUUAAGUGUCUUCCUGGGGUUUGCUGGGGAUGGGGGGAAACAAGUUGUCUUUUCCUCUAGUUUCAGGCUUGCGACGAUGCUAAAGUCCUCAGGUUCGUGUAGAGCAGCAGGUGCUAAGGGUUUUUCUUUUCCUGGGGGAACAAACCCUCUGGUUUUUGUUCUUCCAGGUUUUGCUUUUUGUCCUUGCGCAAAAAAAGCAAAAGACUCCGGUGGUGGCACUCCUGAUAGUCCUCAGGACGGGGUUCAAUUCCCUGCGGCGUCUUUGCUUUUCUCAACCUGCUGCUUAGUUGGGUAAGCUAGUUAAAACAGGAACCUAGGUAGUUAAAAUAAUUUAUAGGGUCAUAUUGCGAUUUUUAAAUGACGCGAGCAGAGCUCAGCUUCUUAUUAGCUAGCUAACAUUAGCUUUAUUAUAUCUAUAUAGUGUUAGGUGUACUGUUUUGAAAUAACAUUCUUUAUAUUGAUUUGAUUGUAUACAUAGUCUUAGCAAGCUCUUUGGCAGCAAGCUAAGCAUUUUUAGCUAUAAUAUUUAGCUAGCUUGCUUUGCAAAUGUUAGCCUAGUUAGCUAGCUAGCAUCAAGUGUUGGUGAUAGAAAAAUGGCCGUAGAAGCAACUCGAGCUUAGUUUAGAAGACUUGACUUUUCAAUUCAUUUUGAGGCACCUGUAGAACAAGGAGCUAGUUAGCAAAGAUUUUUUCUGUGCCCUUGGUGUACAACAAACUCCCUCACGACGCCAGGACAGCGGAGUCAAUCAUCACCUUCCAGAGACACCUGAAACCCCACCUCUUUAAGGAAUACCUGGGAUAGGUAUAUAGAUGUACUAUUGUAAAGUGGUUGUUCCACUGGAUAUCAUAAGGUGAAUGCACCAAUUUGUAAGUCGCUCUGGAUAAGAGCGUCUGCUAAAUGACGUAAAUGUACAUCAUUGAAGUGUAUCGUCUUAAAUUGACAGUUGCCAUAGUUAUUGAGGCUUUUUAGUAUGCGCCCCUUGUGGGAACACAACCAAAUAUUAACUGUUCCAAAAAUGUUUCUACUUAGGCUUGCUUGCCAACCCAUAAAUGUUAGUUAGAAGAAACUGGUUUCUAAUGGAAUUUAUUUUGUUUAGUCUAUUGGUUGAGACAUGACUUGUAGUUCAGGAGAUGAGUUUAAUUUACUUUAAGUUAUGAAUAAAAUCUAUGAACUGUACAAAAUUGUGUGCUGACUGUCAUACCUCAUUACAAUGUUUUAAAUGACUUAAUUCCAAGGAUUUAUUUAGGUUAUACGUUACAAUUUUACUUGACAUGUUUUAAUGUGCUUUUCAUAUUUGACAAAGCCAAUUUUAGUGACCUGAAGUAUAUUUUCAUUACUGAGUAGAGUAAGCCUACAUAACCAAGGAAUGGGGGUGUAUUUAAUUAUUUCACCUUUAUUUAACCAGGUAGGCCAGUUGAGAACAAGUUCUCAUUUACAACUGCGACUUGGCCAAGAUGAAGCAAAGCAGUGCGACAGUUACAAAUGUACAGUCACAAUAUAUAUAUAUAUAUAUAUACACAGUGUGCAAAUGUAGGGAGGUGAGGCAAAAUAAUUACAAUUAUGCAUUAACACUGGUGUGAUAGAUGUGCAAGUAGUGCUACUGGGGUGCAAGAGGAUAAGUAACAAUAUGGGGCGAGGUAGUUGGGUGUGCUAUUUACAGAUUGGCUGUGUGCAG
RNAcentral lists this long non-coding RNA (12845 nucleotides) under Salmo salar (Atlantic salmon). Lineage: Eukaryota; Metazoa; Chordata; Actinopteri; Salmoniformes; Salmonidae. The record is from RNAcentral.